RNAcentral lists this ribosomal RNA (555 nucleotides) under Marcusenius senegalensis. Its description in RNAcentral is "partial 16S ribosomal RNA". It matches the Rfam family "Bacterial large subunit ribosomal RNA", at positions 1858 to 2577 of the family's 2925-position model. Lineage: Eukaryota; Metazoa; Chordata; Actinopteri; Osteoglossiformes; Mormyridae. The record is from RNAcentral.
CCUGCCCAGUGACAAUAAGUUUAACGGCCGCGGUAUUUUAACCGUGCUAAGGUAGCGUAAUCACUUGUCUUUUAAAUGAAGACCCGUAUGAAAGGUGUCACGAGGGCCCUCCUGUCUCCUACUUCAAGUCUGUGAAAUUGAUCUGCCCGUGCAGAANCGGGCAUAACAACAUAAGACGAGAAGACCCUGUGGAGCUUAAGACCAAUCAAUCAACCGUGCCUAACAGCCAAUCGCCCUAACAGGAAAUAAAAAGCUAAACAAGCAUAACGACUCAUGAUUGAAUCUGUCUUCGGUUGGGGCGACCAUGGAGGACAAAAAAGCCUCCAAGAGGAAGCAGGGGACCAGUUCAAUUGAUCCCUAAGAGCUAAGAGCUACCACUCUAAGCAACAGAAAAUUCUGACCAAUAAUGAUCCAGGCACUAGCCUGAUCAACGAACCAAGUUACCCCAGGGAUAACAGCGCAAUCCUUUCUCAGAGCCCAUAUCGCCGAAAGGGUUUACGACCUCGAUGUUGGAUCAGGACAUCCUGGUGGCGAAAAUUCUACCAAGGGUUCGUU